UUUAGCUUUGAAAACAGGUGUCACGGGUUCUCCCCGUUUGCAGACCCUAAUUAAAACUUGAAAAGCAAAAGUACACCAUACUUGAGAGUACCGACGCCGCCUCCUUCCCAUCCUCCUCCUCCUCCUCCUCCUCGUCGGAGAGGAAAGAGGUGCCUGUACUUUACUUUCGUUGUUAUAGCAAACCUGUCAAAUCCAAUCCACUCAGAAGUAAUAUUUUCGAAUUCUGAUCCUGUCAUCGUUUAUAGCAAAUUUAUCACAAAUCAAAUCACACCUCUGGUCUCCCAGCAAAUCCCAGAUUUACCAUGUCUAGUGCAACAAAUUCUGAUUUCUUCAGAUCUACUUUUGGCUAUGGUUUUCAAUCUUCAAUUUUCUCAAAAGAUGUGAAUUUUGCCCAAUAUUCAUCCACCAAAGUCAAGAAAAUUCUCCAAUUCUGGGGGAUAGGUGGAUGCCAUCGAUUGCUGAUGAUGAUUAUGGAGAAAAGAAGAAAAAAAAAAACAAACACAUCCACCCUUGCCAUUGGGAGGCUAUGGAUGGACGACGAUUCAAUCUUGGACCGCUUCAGUGUGACAAGUGAAAGCUAAGUAACAAAACUCCUUUCCUACACAAUACUCCUUCUUUUAGAGGGGUUUCUAGUUUUACGCCCCUAGGCUAAGGUCUGAUUUGAUAUUGCUGUGUUUUUAAGACGCUCUGCUUGCAGAGGAGGACCUCGGAACUCCCGAGUGCUAGAACCAUUUUGUUGGGCCUAUUUAGCUCUCUUUCAGCCCAUACUUGUUAGCUCUCAACUUGUUUUGUUGCUCAAGGCCCAGGCUAUCAGGACGAAAUACGAUGGCUGCGUUUUAUCCUUGUAGCUAGGGUUUUCCCUUCCAGCUGAAUAUAAAUACUGUUGCUGUGCUCUGUAAAAGGGGAUCUGAUGAAUGAAAUGAACCUUCUUUCCUUUUAAUUUCCCCGAUUCCAUCUGCCUGAACCGAUUGGGCGUACCACCGAGUCCUUUGUGCAUCUUUUUCUCUCGCUUGCUCCUAGUCUCUCAUCAAAUCGCCAACCAAGUUGAUUGGAUUCAAACUAGAAAGGUGGCAUUAUUGUUUUGGAAAUAGUAGUGGAAUAACUUUCACGUUUUUGAAAGAUAAGCUUUUGGGGAAAUAAACAUAAUAUAAUUUGGUAACUUCUUUUACUUGAAUUAAAACUUGGUCUGGGUUGUUAAAUUCUCUCAUGGAUUUUGUGGUUUCCAAAGCUCCUUUUGUUUUAUUCAUAAUAAUUCUUUAACUUAUCACUCUUACUGUUUCAUAUCUUACUGAGCAGGGAGAUGAUAACUAGACACUUUUUCACAGUGGUUUAGGAAUGUAGUCUAUUACUUGAAAAAUAUAAACGUUUCUUCUCUUCUAAAAGUCUUUGUUAAUGCAUGAUGCAAGCAAGGUUUUACACCAAAUUUUUAAACAGUAUCGGUAAACUUCCAGUGGGUAAACUUUAAGUGGGUAAAUUUAGUGUGCAUAGUGGAAAUAAUCGUGAGGCAACUGGUACAGUUGAUGGGUUUUGCUUGACACACUAUAUGUACACACCUUGCAUUCCACAUGUCACUAGUGGAAUGAUAGACGGUCACCCCGUUUCCUUGCAUGAAGUUGAUGAGAUCGAGUCAAUAGAAUGGUAUGCACAGUUGUGCGAACUUAGAAGUCAUUAUAUUUUAAGUGCUGAUUUCAAAGUAAAGGACGAAAAGGGUCGCGUGUUUCUUGUUGACAACCCGACUAGACGGUUGGUUAAAAUCAUGGGUUAAGUGUAACACAUGUUUUAAUGCAAGAUAUUCCCAUCUUCCAUAUCCGAACUUGUUACUGUUAGUGAGGUAAAUUUCGAGACUUAACAUGCUUAGGAUAGGACUUUCUUUGUUGUUGUUGUUGUGUAAUGUUAUGUUGUUUUAUCUUAUGUUGUUGUUGUAUCAUGUUGGGUAUAUCUUGUGCGGUAUGAGGGAUGUCCAGCUGCAGAUAAAGAGGGAUCAUUUAAAUAUUAAUCUUAACACGAUUUUUUUAGUGUCUUUUGGCGAGCGAUAUAGAGCUAUGCUCUCGCAUAUGCUAGAAGCUACAAGUCAGAAGGCUAAAUUGGAUUCCCAAGCAUUUGCUCUAUAUCGCCCGCCAAAAGACACAAAAAAAUUGGGUCAAGAUUAAUAUUGAAAUGAUCUCUCUUUGUCUGCAGCUGGAAAUCCCUCAUACCACACAAGAUAUCCCUAACAUGAUACAACAACAUAAGAUACAGCAACAUAACAUCAUACAACAACAACAAAAAAGAAAGUCAUCCUAAGUAUGUUAAGUCUCGAAAUUUACCUCAGUAAUAGUAGCAAGUUCGGAAAUGAAGGAUGGGGAUAUCUUGCAUUAAAACAUGGGUUACACUUAACCCAUGAUUUUAACCAACCGUCUACUCAGGUUGUCAACAAGAACAACGGACCCUUUUUGUCCUUUAUUUUGACAUCAACACCUAAAAUAUGAUAACUUUGAGUUCGCACGACUGUGCAUACCAUUCUAUCGACUUGAUCUCAUCAACUUCAUGCAAGGAAACGGGGUGACCGUCUAACAUUCCACUAGCGACAUGUGGAAUGCAAGGUGUGUACAUAUAAUGUGUCAAGCAAAGCCCAUCAACUGUACCAGUUGCCUCACGAUUAUUUGCAAUAUGCACACUAAAUUUACCCCCUUGAAGUUUAUCUACUAGAAGUUUACCCCUGUAGCUACUGUUUAAAAUUUUGGUGUAAAACCUUGCUUGCGUCCUACAUUAACAAGGACUUUUAGAAGAGUAGAAACAUUCAUAUUUUUCAAGUAAUAGACUACAUUCCUAAACAACCGUGAAAAAAAGUGAAAGAAAUGAAACAGUAUGAGUGAUAAGUUCUAGAACUAUUAUGAAUAAAACAAAAAGAGCUUGGAUGUGUAUAUACAUGGAAAAAUUUAACAACCCAGUCCAAAUUUUAAUUCAAGUAAAAGAAGUUAUCAAAUUAUAAUUUGUUUAUUUUCCUAAAAGCUUAUCGUUCAAACACGUGAAGUAGAGAGAUGGCGAGGAAGAAUUGUGGGGUUUUGAUAUGUGAGACGAUGAUUGGCAAUUGCUAUAACCCCCGAAUCCCAAUCCGAGGUCGUCGUCUUCUUCAUCAUCACUGUACGGUCCAAAUCUUAGCCCCCAAAUUCAAUGCCAACAUCUGCCAUUCCUUCCUCCAAUGCAUCCGCCUUCUCCUUGGCCUCACUCCUAGCUAGGGUCUCUGCCUCCGGUGCACUCGGCCUUAGGCCCAGGCUCAAAACUUCUGUUUCCGAGUCCCCAAGACAUGAUCAUGUUGACCCGAAAAGAAGGAAUAUAAGAGAGCAAUUAAAGAAGUUAAAGGUGGACGUUUGCAAGCAGUUUUCUACUUUACUACAGCAGCUUGCCCAAAUAGUAAGUUGUGAUGCAAUACAAUUUUAUCAGUAAGUUAUUUCUUGUAAACUGCUGCUCUGCAACUUGUAUUUGGUGUACUAUUCUUUUGCAGCCGUCACGUACUCAAUUUCAAUCAUUCGAAAGAUCAUGGAGCAUUUCCCACAUGUAAAACUAUAUAAGGUUCUGCUUACUGUUGAGAGUAAUGAGCUUAAGAAUUCUGAAAAGAAAAGAAAACACCUAGCGAUUGAACGUUAUGAGUCGCAUGGAGGAAAACUCAAACCGAUUUAAAAAGCAGAUUCGGCUUAGAGGAUGAGAUGAAUAGAGGUUUAUAUGGUUUGUCCUUGGGACGUUCCGGGCACUUUUCCGACCAGUGGAGGCCUUUAUCCCUACAAUGGUUACAAUAUGCGACAAUAAGACGUCCUUUGGAGGAACCACCAGGAUGGGCACAACAGUUGGGGUUUUUGUAAAAAAGACCACAAAACUACACCAUAACCAUCGCCAACAAUAGCGCCCGGUGGGACACCAUUCCAGUAUGGGCAGGCAGAACUGAAGUGCACAUUUUCCUUACGGCAAACUCUACAGUGCCCGAAAUUAUGCUUUUCUUGUUCUGUUUUUUCCUCGAGCUGGAGUUGAGCCUUUGAGUCUCCAACCUCCUUUGAGCCUUUUUUGUCCAGUGGGGCCCACAAGCCCUUUGACUUGGCCUUCGAUUGGAGAUGGUUUUCGAGCUAUUUUCAGCCUUCUGGCCCUUUAAACCCUUUGGUUGAAGAUGACCUAAUGACCUCAUGAUAUAGAAACAGUAGGAUUUAGUUGCGGGGAAAGGAGGCAUAUAAUGCGUAUGCUCUUGGGAUAAGAAUGUGACGUGGUACUAAUUAAACAUUUUGUUCUCACAAAAGAUUAUUAAUUAGAUUUAUGUAAAUAAGAGAAGAAUUCCCUCUCUUCUCAUUUCUAUACAAUUCAUUUUGUUUGUGCCAUGAAUAAAAUAAAGCUUGUUACGGGGUUUA
Non-coding RNA from Malus domestica (apple), 4373 nucleotides. Lineage: Eukaryota; Viridiplantae; Streptophyta; Magnoliopsida; Rosales; Rosaceae. The record is from RefSeq and is a predicted model, not a curated record.